ACUCUCUUCUGCUUUGCAGUGGUAAGACAUGCCUGCUUCCCCUUCGCCUUUUGCCAUGAUUGUAAGUUUCCUGAGGCCUCCUAGUCAUGCUUCCUGUUAAGCCUGCAGAACUGGAGCAAAGUUUGUCAUCUUGAUACAAUAGAUCUUUGAUGAUAUCGAUAAGGAAACAUCCACACCCUUUGGUUAAAAGACUCUGAGACUUCAAGGACUGCUGGCUGUCCAGAAGAGGCUGUGGUGGUUCAAAAUCAAGACCUUGUUCCUCAUAUCCAGAACCACCAGCUGGGGUCCCGCUUCCAUCAGAUUGAACCACACAGGAUCACAGUGGAGUCUCCUUCCUGAGUCUUCCCAGCCUGGAAACUCCUACUGCUGUCAAACCCCCUGACAGGAGCCUCAACUCUCUGAAUCGCCUCUUCUCUAGGGACCUGAGUGGAUUGACAUCCCUGACCCUUUGAAAUUCAAGUGUAAACCUCAUGUUGAGAUGGUGGCAUCAAAAGAGGGCAGAACCUUGGGUCCCUGAGUGACUAAAGUGAGCACAGACAAAGGAGAAUGAAAGCUGUCUGUUGUAGAUAGGAUAUUUUCAGCCGUCAUCACCAUGGACUCUUUGAAAUGUACUACUUUAGAAAAGCCACAGUGACUCCCUCUGGGCCUCACCCACCUGAGAUGACAUCAGGAUGCAAAUCCAGGACUUACUCUCUUCAUACAGAUGGAAUGGUUCACUUGGCUUUUAGAGUGCAGACAAGCCAUUCAGUGGAGGCCGUGCCUCAGCCUGCACUCUUCUGACUCAUGACAUGACUUCUCCAUGGAGAGCCAGGAUUUUUCUCAAGUGUAACAAUAUUAAUUAUCAAGUCACUUUAAAACA
Molecule: long non-coding RNA, 859 nt
Filed under: Pongo abelii (Sumatran orangutan)
Lineage: Eukaryota; Metazoa; Chordata; Mammalia; Primates; Hominidae
Description: lincRNA
Source: RNAcentral